Molecule: long non-coding RNA, 327 nt
Organism: Cebus imitator (Panamanian white-faced capuchin)
Lineage: Eukaryota; Metazoa; Chordata; Mammalia; Primates; Cebidae
Exons: 3
Source: RefSeq, a predicted model, not a curated record
GCCACUGACUCUCCCCUGUGGCCUCUUGGGAAGACCUCUGUGCCCAAUUUUGGACGGCUGUACUUGCUAUAUUCAUGUGUUUACACCUCAAUCUCCUGGGAACAAUUCGGCUCUCUCAAAGAAAUGCCAAGGAAAGAGCUUCCCCUUCUCCACUCCCUACCUCUCCUCUACAAGGAAGGAAGAGAAGUAUCUCCUCUGCAGGUGAAGAAACUAAAACCUCGAGAUCAAGAGACCUUCCCAAAGGUCACACUGCUAAAAAAACCGCAGCCAGACCCUCUCAUACUGCCACAGUGUAGAGAAGAUGGAGUCUCACUGUGUCGUCCAGGC